AAUUUUCGAAAUGUGUGAAGUUUGAGAACGGGUUGCGUCCUGAGAUCAAACAGGCUAUUGGAUAUCAGCGGAUCAGAGUGUUUUCUGACUUGGUUGACUGUUGCAGGAUUUUGAACAGGAUUCCAAAGCCAGAGCAGAGAGCUGUCAGCAGAGGGUUGAUAGGAAAGGCAAGAAUCAGAAUGAUCGUGGAAAACCGUAUGCAGCUGGCAAAGGUUUUCAGAAGCAGAGUGGGAUGAAGAGGC
This 242-nucleotide long non-coding RNA is filed under the name Lathyrus oleraceus (garden pea). RNAcentral's name for it is "Pisum sativum (pea) long non-coding RNA (PSAT_LNC025908)". Lineage: Eukaryota; Viridiplantae; Streptophyta; Magnoliopsida; Fabales; Fabaceae. The record is from RNAcentral.